This 370-nucleotide ribosomal RNA is filed under the name uncultured organism. Its description in RNAcentral is "bacterial SSU rRNA". It matches the Rfam family "Bacterial small subunit ribosomal RNA", at positions 526 to 896 of the family's 1533-position model. The record is from RNAcentral.
CGAAGGGGGCUAGCGUUGUUCGGAAUUGCUGGGCGUAAAGCGAGUGUAGGUGGUUGUCCAAGUUGGAUGUGAAAGCCUUGAGCUCAACUCAAGAAAUGCAUUCAGGACUGGAUGGCUAGAGGACCGGAGAGGAUAGUGGAAUUCCCAGUGUAGUGGUGAAAUACGUAGAGAUUGGGAAGAACACCAGUGGCGAAGGCGGCUAUCUGGACGGUUUCUGACACUAAGACUCGAAAGCGUGGGGAGCAAACAGGAUUAGAUACCCUGGUAGUCCACGCCGUAAACGAUGGGUGCUAGACGUUGGCGAGCUUGCUCGUCAGUGUCGCAGCUAACGCGUUAAGCACCCCGCCUGGGGAGUACGGCCGCAAGGUUG